GCCUGGAGUCUACUGCAGCUGCUUUCUUCAUGCUUUUCCCAUAGUUAGACUGCAUUUAUCAUGCUUACCCUGGUUUGCUUGGUUUUUUUCAUACCAUACCUUGAUGGUCUUUACAGUGAUUGUGUGCGUUACCAUACUCACUGUGCUUUACACUUUGCUAUGAUCAGAACUUAAAUUCUGGCCUCUAUACACAAUGAAGAGAGAACUGAUCUGUGUAAAUGUAGGCUUAAAAAAAUAAUCAGCCGUUUUAUUAGCGAGUUUGGCAAGUCCUGUGAAGCGCCCUGGAAUGCUUGUACAUAAAGGAAAUCGGUCCUGUACCGAUUCACACAGCUGUGGUGUUCCCCUGACUUCCACAGGUUGUAGUAAAUCUCCUCCACGAGGCUGAUCAGUUAAUGACGCUGACGUCAGCAGAAGACCUUCCCCACUGCAGAGCUUGCUGUUUAGUUGAAUGGUGAGGCAUCAUUACAAGGCACUGGAGUGUUUUGCACAUAUGGAUAGAGGCUACUUGAUUGCACAUAUUUUUUUUUGUGUAAAUUUUGCUUCAACACCCCUGAACUAAGCAGUUUUUAAAAAGCCUGUAUCACUUGUAUAUUGUAUGAGUAAAACCUUAAUUAAGGAAAACAAACUGAGCCAACCUUUGUCUAGGACAGAGUGACCUACUUUUUCACGACUACUCUGGUAAUGAAUGAUUGAAUGAAGCUUGUGUUGAAGCUUGCUGUUAGUAUUUAAGGAAAUAAACCCUAAAUAAGCAAAUAACAUUUUAACAUCACAAAGACUUAACUACAAAGUAAAAUUAAAAAAACAAAAAAAAACACGUACACAUCAAA
Molecule: long non-coding RNA, 827 nt
Organism: Acipenser ruthenus (sterlet)
Lineage: Eukaryota; Metazoa; Chordata; Actinopteri; Acipenseriformes; Acipenseridae
Exons: 2
Source: RefSeq, a predicted model, not a curated record